Molecule: ribosomal RNA, 443 nt
Filed under: uncultured bacterium
Lineage: Bacteria
Description: partial 16S ribosomal RNA
Rfam family: Bacterial small subunit ribosomal RNA
Source: RNAcentral
CCUACGGGUGGCAGCAGUGGGGGAUAUUGCGCAAUGGGCGCAAGCCUGACCCAGCAACGCCGCGUGAAGGAAGAAGGCCCUCGGGUUGUAAACUUCUUUUCUCAGGUACGAAGAAAGUGACGGUACCUGAGGAAUAAGCGACGGCUAACUACGUGCCAGCCGCCGCGAUAAUACGUAGGUGGCAAGCGUUAUCAGGAUUUGUUGGGUGUAAAGGGCGAGUAGGCGGGAGCGCAAGUCAGAUGUGAAAACUCAGGGCUCAACCCUGAGACUGCACUUGAAACUGUGUUUCUGGAGUGCUGGAGAGGCAAGCGGAAUUCCGGGUGUAGCGGUGAAAUGCGUAGAUAUAAGGAGGAACACCAGUGGCGAAGGCGGAUUGCUGGACAGUAACUGACGCUGAGGCGCGAAAGCGUGGGUAGCAAACAGGAUUAGAUACCCCGGUAGUC